RNAcentral lists this ribosomal RNA (253 nucleotides) under uncultured bacterium. Its description in RNAcentral is "partial 16S ribosomal RNA". It matches the Rfam family "Bacterial small subunit ribosomal RNA", at positions 524 to 776 of the family's 1533-position model. The record is from RNAcentral.
UACGUAGGGGGCAAGCGUUGUCCGGAAUCAUUGGGCGUAAAGAGCGUGUAGGCGGCCAGAUAAGUCCGCUGUGAAAUCUCGAGGCUCAACUUCGAGCUGUCGGUGGAAACUGUCUGGCUAGAGGCCGGAAGAGGAGAAUGGAAUUCCUGGUGUAGCGGUGAAAUGCGCAGAUAUCAGGAAGAACACCCGUGGCGAAGGCGGUUCUCUGGGACGGUACUGACGCUGAGACGCGAAAGCGUGGGGAGCAAACAGG